Molecule: ribosomal RNA, 481 nt
Filed under: uncultured bacterium
Lineage: Bacteria
Description: partial 16S ribosomal RNA
Rfam family: Bacterial small subunit ribosomal RNA
Source: RNAcentral
AGCGAACGCUGGCGGCAGGCCUAACACAUGCAAGUCGAACGAACCUUUCGGGGUUAGUGGCGGACGGGUGAGUAACACGUGGAUAACCUACCUAUAAGACUGGGAUAACUUCGGGAAACCGGAGCUAAUACCGGAUAACAUGUUGAACCGCAUGGUUCAACAGUGAAAGACGGUCUUGCUGUCACUUAUAGAUGGAUCCGCGCCGCAUUAGCUAGUUGGUAAGGUAACGGCUUACCAAGGCAACGAUGCGUAGCCGACCUGAGAGGGUGAUCGGCCACACUGGAACUGAGACACGGUCCAGACUCCUACGGGAGGCAGCAGUAGGGAAUCUUCCGCAAUGGGCGAAAGCCUGACGGAGCAACGCCGCGUGAGUGAAGAAGGUCUUCGGAUCGUAAAACUCUGUUAUUAGGGAAGAACAAAUGUGUAAGUAACUAUGCACGUCUUGACGGUACCUAAUCAGAAAGCCACGGCUAACUACGUG